RNAcentral lists this RNase P RNA (352 nucleotides) under Candidatus Methanofrustulum fimipullorum. RNAcentral describes it as "RNase P RNA component". It matches the Rfam family "Archaeal RNase P". From Rfam's summary of the family: Ribonuclease P (RNase P) is a ubiquitous endoribonuclease, found in archaea, bacteria and eukarya as well as chloroplasts and mitochondria. Its best characterised activity is the generation of mature 5'-ends of tRNAs by cleaving the 5'-leader elements of precursor-tRNAs. Lineage: Archaea; Methanobacteriati; Methanobacteriota; Methanomicrobia; Methanosarcinales; Methanosarcinaceae. The record is from RNAcentral.
GGGAGCGGCAGGAUGGCUACGGGACAAAAGUUCUGAGGAAAGUCUCCCCACCAUCUUUCGAAUCUGCGGACACCUGUAAAGGGUGUGCGGCGAGAGCCGGGGCAAUGGCACAGAAACGAUAACCUUGUCAUGUAUUGCAAUGAUACGAAAAAGUUGAGGUCUCAUGACGGAAGGAUGGAACGGCGAAUCCCCGCAGGUGCAAGUUGUUUGGGAUUACGGUGUAUGAUUCUGAAAGCACCGCCUGUUAAAAAUACGCAUAGCCGAAUGCCAUCGAUUGCAGUGACUAAAGAGUUACGUCCGUUAAAAGAAAACGGAUUAAGCAAUAACAGAAGGGAGCUUACUCGCCGGACCC